RNAcentral lists this signal recognition particle RNA (95 nucleotides) under Porticoccus sp. Its description in RNAcentral is "signal recognition particle sRNA small type". It matches the Rfam family "Bacterial small signal recognition particle RNA". From Rfam's summary of the family: The signal recognition particle (SRP) is a universally conserved ribonucleoprotein involved in the co-translational targeting of proteins to membranes. Archaeal SRP consists of a 7S RNA and homologues of the eukaryotic SRP19 and SRP54 proteins. The record is from RNAcentral. Lineage: Bacteria; Pseudomonadati; Pseudomonadota; Gammaproteobacteria; Cellvibrionales; Porticoccaceae.
UGCUGGUCCCUAGCAAUAAUUUUUUACGAAUCCCGCCAGGCCCGGAAGGGAGCAACGGUAGUAAUAUUUUUAUGUACUAGACAAGGCUGGCAAGG